Long non-coding RNA from Scatophagus argus, 1402 nucleotides. RefSeq lists it as uncharacterized. The transcript has 2 exons. Lineage: Eukaryota; Metazoa; Chordata; Actinopteri; Scatophagidae. The record is from RefSeq and is a predicted model, not a curated record.
UUUUGGAUGUUAGAUGAUUAACAUACUAAUUGUCAGAGUGCUCCCAGCUGCUGUCCCACUGUUUUGUGCCACUGUGUCUGCUCACAACUGUUUACGCUUCUUCGCUUUUCUUUUUCUCGUCUUUCUGUGUCUCACUCUCUUUCUUAACUCUUUCUCUCUGACUCCUCCUCUUUCUGUUCCCCCUCUCUCGCUACAGCAUGUCCCUCCCUUCCUCUUUCUGUCUCUACACACCCCCCCCCUCUCCUCCCCUCCCUUUUCUCCCCUUCCCUCUUGGCAGCGGUGCCAAAGUGGGCAGGCGGACCGAGGCAAACACAGCACAGGGCAGAGCAGAGGGCGAUCCAAAGGCUGGCGAAUUGAUUAUGUGUAUGUUUGUGUUUUGAAGUGUCCUCUGUCUGUCUGUCUGUCUGAGCGCUUGUCUCCAUUUUGGUCAUACGCAACUGCAAGUAAUGUGAGUCUAUUGUGAGUCCGCUCUGGAGCUUUUCUCUUUUUGCUGUGCACAGUGUGUUUGAUACCUUGUUUGAUACCUUGCUUGUGUGCGUUUUGUGUGUGUGUGUGUGUGUGUGUGUUGUAGGGCUGUGUUUGAGCAGACGUCCCUCUGUCACCCUGUGUACGGACAGACGUACUCACGCCAGUAGGAGGGGAUUGUGGGAAGGGGGUGUAGCUCUCAGAGGGUGUGCUCUACUCCUCUCUUUUCCCUUCUUCCCGCCAUCACGGCCCUCUUCUCCUCCAGUCCUCCGGCCCAGCCCGCCGCUCACGUACAGGCUCCAGGAGAGUUACCUUUGAGGAUCUUUGAUGCUGAAGCAGCGAGGAUGCUGUCCUUGGGGCUGAGGUAGUAGAUUGAAUAGUUGUGGGGUUGUGUAACCUCUUUUUGAGAUAACUAUACAAUCUACUGUCUUUCCCAAGGAGACAGCUGAGUCAGCCACUCGUCGACUGUCGUCUCCAGAUGGGCAAUCAUGCUGUCCGAUCAAAACAUACGCUUGCAGCAGUCAACAUAAUACACUGUGAAAAGCAUUAUUAUUAAUAUUAUCAUUAUUAUUAUUAUUGUUUUAUUUUUUCUAGAGCAGGUGAGUUAUAUUCCAUGGUCCUUAACUGGGCGUGAACGUGCGGUAUGUCUGAUUUGGGUUCUGCCAGGGUGAGGUAGUAGGUUGUAUAGUUUGGUGGGUGGGAUUGCACCCUGCUCAGGUGAUAACUAUACAGUCUAUUGCCUUCCCUGAGGAGCUCACUGAACACGAAUGAAUAAUCGACACACUCUCAUGGCCAAGUAUCACAUUUAUUUUCAGAUUUCAGGAAAAGGGGAGGGGAGUAGAUCUGUGCUGCUAAAGGUUAGCGAUGCAUUGACUGAAGCUGUCAAAUGAGUUACUCAAAAACAUGUACAUCUCAAUAAAGUAAUUUUUGCCUCAUA